This 1717-nucleotide ribosomal RNA is filed under the name Salmonella enterica. Its description in RNAcentral is "partial 23S ribosomal RNA". It matches the Rfam family "Bacterial large subunit ribosomal RNA", at positions 1103 to 2802 of the family's 2925-position model. Lineage: Bacteria; Pseudomonadati; Pseudomonadota; Gammaproteobacteria; Enterobacterales; Enterobacteriaceae. The record is from RNAcentral.
GGCUUAGAAGCAGCCAUCAUUUAAAGAAAGCGUAAUAGCUCACUGGUCGAGUCGGCCUGCGCGGAAGAUGUAACGGGGCUAAACCAUGCACCGAAGCUGCGGCAGCGACGCUGAUGCGUUGUUGGGUAGGGGAGCGUUCUGUAAGCCUGUGAAGGUGGCCUGUGAGGGUUGCUGGAGGUAUCAGAAGUGCGAAUGCUGACAUAAGUAACGAUAAAGCGGGUGAAAAGCCCGCUCGCCGGAAGACCAAGGGUUCCUGUCCAACGUUAAUCGGGGCAGGGUGAGUCGACCCCUAAGGCGAGGCCGAAAGGCGUAGUCGAUGGGAAACGGGUUAAUAUUCCCGUACUUGGUGUUACUGCGAAGGGGGGACGGAGAAGGCUAUGUUGGCCGGGCGACGGUUGUCCCGGUUUAAGCGUGUAGGUGUGUGUUCCAGGUAAAUCCGGUUCACUUUAACACUGAGGCGUGAUGACGAGGCACUACGGUGCUGAAGCAACAAAUGCCCUGCUUCCAGGAAAAGCCUCUAAGCAUCAGGUAACAUCAAAUCGUACCCCAAACCGACACAGGUGGUCAGGUAGAGAAUACCAAGGCGCUUGAGAGAACUCGGGUGAAGGAACUAGGCAAAAUGGUGCCGUAACUUCGGGAGAAGGCACGCUGACACGUAGGUGAAGUGAUUUACUCAUGGAGCUGAAGUCAGUCGAAGAUACCAGCUGGCUGCAACUGUUUAUUAAAAACACAGCACUGUGCAAACACGAAAGUGGACGUAUACGGUGUGACGCCUGCCCGGUGCCGGAAGGUUAAUUGAUGGGGUCAGCGCAAGCGAAGCUCCUGAUCGAAGCCCCGGUAAACGGCGGCCGUAACUAUAACGGUCCUAAGGUAGCGAAAUUCCUUGUCGGGUAAGUUCCGACCUGCACGAAUGGCGUAAUGAUGGCCAGGCUGUCUCCACCCGAGACUCAGUGAAAUUGAACUCGCUGUGAAGAUGCAGUGUACCCGCGGCAAGACGGAAAGACCCCGUGAACCUUUACUAUAGCUUGACACUGAACAUUGAGCCUUGAUGUGUAGGAUAGGUGGGAGGCUUUGAAGUGUGGACGCCAGUCUGCAUGGAGCCGGCCUUGAAAUACCACCCUUUAAUGUUUGAUGUUCUAACGUGGACCCGUGAUCCGGGUUGCGGACAGUGUCUGGUGGGUAGUUUGACUGGGGCGGUCUCCUCCUAAAGAGUAACGGAGGAGCACGAAGGUUGGCUAAUCCUGGUCGGACAUCAGGAGGUUAGUGCAAUGGCAUAAGCCAGCUUGACUGCGAGCGUGACGGCGCGAGCAGGUGCGAAAGCAGGUCAUAGUGAUCCGGUGGUUCUGAAUGGAAGGGCCAUCGCUCAACGGAUAAAAGGUACUCCGGGGAUAACAGGCUGAUACCGCCCAAGAGUUCAUAUCGACGGCGGUGUUUGGCACCUCGAUGUCGGCUCAUCACAUCCUGGGGCUGAAGUAGGUCCCAAGGGUAUGGCUGUUCGCCAUUUAAAGUGGUACGCGAGCUGGGUUUAGAACGUCGUGAGACAGUUCGGUCCCUAUCUGCCGUGGGCGCUGGAGAACUGAGGGGGGCUGCUCCUAGUACGAGAGGACCGGAGUGGACGCAUCACUGGUGUUCGGGUUGUCAUGCCAAUGGCACUGCCCGGUAGCUAAAUGCGGAAGAGAUAAGUGCUGAAAGCAUCUAAGCACGAAACUUGCCCCGA